AUGAACAUUGCCCUCCUGAUAAGGUGGCUUUGGUGGAUUACGAACGGAGAGGGUGUCCUGUGGCUCCGCACCAUUCAACAGAAAUACCUCUAUGUCCAGCCGCUCGCCUUCUAUCAGCGAUCCGAAGGCUCUUAGUUCUAGCAGUCCAUCAUACAGCUACUCCUAGUCCUUCGCAUCGGGACUUCGAUUGUGGUUGGAUCUGGCACGUCCAUGUUGUUUUGGUUCGAUCGUUGGGCUGGUAAUGCCCCCUUCGCGGCAUGCUUUCCUGACUUCUUCGCCAUUGUGUUCAAACCGAGGAUCUCCGUUGAGGUGGUAAUUAUUGACUUAGGGCACUUGGCAUUCCGGUGACCAUUCGGUCCGGCGAAAAACGCCGAUUGGCAGGACUUGCUUGCCUGCAUCGUGCUGCACCAGCCGGACCUGGACAUAGGGGAUGACCGCACCAUGUGGCGACUAGAGUCAUCUGGUCAAUUCUCCACUAAAUCCCUAUACCAGGCUAUCGCCUCCUCCCUAGAACCCAAGGCUCUUACCGCCAUCUGGGAGAUCCGGCUCCCCUUGAAGAUAAGGAUAUUCCUGUGGCAAUGGAUCCACGACUGCCUCCCAUCCGGCAUGGAGGUACUGAAGCUCAACGGCCCCGGUGACGGGCUAUGCCCGCUCUGCGGGACUGGAGAGGAUUUGAACCAUAUCUUCUUCACCUGCGUCUCCAUGCAGUCCCUCUGGAUCUAUUUCCAUGAAAUAGUGGGUGGAAGCUAG
RNAcentral lists this ribosomal RNA (750 nucleotides) under Triticum aestivum (bread wheat). Its description in RNAcentral is "partial small subunit ribosomal RNA". Lineage: Eukaryota; Viridiplantae; Streptophyta; Magnoliopsida; Poales; Poaceae. The record is from RNAcentral.